This 253-nucleotide unclassified non-coding RNA is filed under the name uncultured Caryophanales bacterium. Its description in RNAcentral is "uncultured Bacillales bacterium contains 16S-23S intergenic spacer region". It matches the Rfam family "Bacterial small subunit ribosomal RNA", at positions 524 to 776 of the family's 1533-position model. Lineage: Bacteria; Bacillati; Bacillota; Bacilli; Caryophanales. The record is from RNAcentral.
UACGUAGGUGGCAAGCGUUGUCCGGAAUUAUUGGGCGUAAAGCGCGCGCAGGCGGCCUCCUAAGUCUGAUGUGGAAGCCCCCGGCUCAACCGGGGAGGGCCAUUGGAAACUGGGAGGCUUGAGUAUAGGAGAGAAGAGUGGAAUUCCACGUGUAGCGGUGAAAUGCGUAGAGAUGUGGAGGAACACCAGUGGCGAAGGCGACUUUCUGGCCUACAACUGACGCUGAGGCGCGAGAGCGUGGGGUGCAAACACG